CGGUGGUAAAAAUGGCGUACUAAAGUACAUAGAUAUACAAUAACUACAGGCAUAAGUCAAUGAUGAAAAGGGAAUUAAGUCUUGUGUGCACAUGGGAGCUGUUUUGUCCUUACAUAUACAUUUGUAUAUGCACUCCAUUGUUGAGGUUGCUGCACACGUAAUGCCGGCGUCACUCAUUGGCGAAUAGACCGACAUGCACCAGGUAUACAGAGAAA
This 215-nucleotide long non-coding RNA is filed under the name Mytilus galloprovincialis (Mediterranean mussel). The record is from RNAcentral. Lineage: Eukaryota; Metazoa; Mollusca; Bivalvia; Mytilida; Mytilidae.